Molecule: long non-coding RNA, 1968 nt
Organism: Anopheles merus
Lineage: Eukaryota; Metazoa; Arthropoda; Insecta; Diptera; Culicidae
Exons: 4
Source: RefSeq, a predicted model, not a curated record
GGUACGGUUGCAGUUAUCGAGCAGAGCGCGAACGAUCUGGAUUUGGUGAAGUCAAGUGGGAAGCGUGUAAUCGUGGUGUGUGUGUAUGUUUCAUUGCACGUGUGUGAAAUUUGGAGAAAAUCUCUGCACGGGCUCAAAGUGAAGGCUCUUUCUGGUGCAAUCCGGUACCCGUCACUGCCAACACAAUUGUUCAGGAGCUUUAGUUUAAGAACCAGUUACAUCGUGCGCCCACUCGUCUAGUGUCCCACAGAAUUUUGCAGCAUCGAGGCAUCGCAGGCAGAAUCUACGAUACACCGCUACGCACGCACGCACGCUCUAGCUAACAGGACAGGAGAGAUGGAGUCACAAUCGGGGCAGAAGAAAUUAGCAAGUCAGCGCUUGCGGGUGGUGUGCUACAUCCAGCGGCUGCGCUGCAUGAUUGGCGCGGUGCAGUCCGGUACGCUGGGCAAAACGUUAACCGCCCGCACCGGGGCGCUGCGCGACCAGGCCUUCAAGGUAGCCACCACUGCCGAGCUGGACGACCUACAAGACCACAUCUUCCAGCUGCAGCAGGAGGUGCUGACAAUAAUAUCGAACCAGUACGAGACCGACCAGCCGAUGCUGUGGGAGCAGCAGAAGUGAGCGAGAACGCAGGGGUGUUGCCUGCCCCCUGACCGUUCACGCCAUAACCUCAAGCAGACUUUGUUUUUUCUUAUGUUUAAGACGUAUUUUCGUUCAUUAUUACUAAUCAACUUUCGAGUGCCUUGAUCUUGGACUGAGUAUGACGCUACUUGCAGCAUAGGAGGAUAUAAGAAGAAGAACAUUCGCAGUGCAACUUCCAAAGGAGAAUUUUUUGCAUCUGCAAUCAUACAGCAGGAAUUCAAAACAUCGAUUUGACAAGGAUUUGGUAACCGAAUAGAAACAUUGUGAAAACAUAAACUAAAUAAUAUAUAAUGCUAUAAGCAUUUCAGUUAUGAAAGUUGAGACCCGUGUUUUUUUUUGAGAAUGUUACGAUAACAUAUGUUUGCCAAAUUGUAAGGACCAGAAUAACCAACUCCAAGGAACAUUUUAGGAUGCAUUUGCAAAGCAAAAUUAAAUCUAAAUGACACCAGCUUAACAUUAAUUCAGCUUUGAGGGUAAAUAUACGCUAUGCGCAGAAUUAGGAAAGAAGAAGGAAAGGUUAUAUAUCAUUAUUUUAAGAAUGUGACAAUCACUAGUAUUCCUAUAUUGCUUAAGAAAGAAGGAUUUGUUAAGAGAAGGAAGCACAAUUUUAUUUGUUGUAUCAACAUCAACAUGACGUCGGUGUAACACAAUGAAGUAAAGAAUUUUGAAAAUACUAUUUACAAAAGUUAUUAAAUAUACCAGUUAUUAAACAAAUAUUAUUGCAUGGAAGCAGCUACACGUAUUUUGCAAUCCAAAAUAACGACACAAGUCUUCCCAAAGAAUACGAAUUAUCCCACGAGAAACAAUUCGAUUUGUUUCUAAUAAUAAACGAGAAAAAAAACACUGCAGAAACGUUUUUGGGCACAUUUACGGAAACGGAACUGAACUUAACGUGAUCUUUAAAUGCACAUUUUGAAAUAAAUAGCAAAAAACGAGUACAGAAAAAGACAAGAAAAAUGUAAAAAUAAAUUUAUAAAUUUAUAAUUGUGCACGAAAAAAAAAGAUCUAAAACCAAAUACGUUCCUAUAUGAACUAAAAAAUGGAUAGAAAGAGAUUAACAUUUAUGUUUUAGAUCAAUAUACAUUGCAACAGUGCAACAUGACAAUGACACGGCAAAAUUAUCGGCACAACCAAUGACACUAUUUCCAAAGGCAUGAAAGGUAGACUGAUUAAAAAAAUAUUCACAGUUUAUUGCCACUGCUGCUUUUUGAAAUCCAAAGAAAACUAUCAAACCUUCAGAUACGCAAAAACGACAACGAGUUUUCAAAUAUAUAUGUUUUUUUUCGCUAAAGUUUUCUUUUCCUUUUAACGCAACACAGAAACAAA